RNAcentral lists this ribosomal RNA (468 nucleotides) under uncultured bacterium. RNAcentral describes it as "partial 16S ribosomal RNA". It matches the Rfam family "Bacterial small subunit ribosomal RNA", at positions 28 to 507 of the family's 1533-position model. The record is from RNAcentral.
GACGAACGCUGGCGGCGUGCUUAACACAUGCAAGUCGAACGGAAAGGCCCUGCUUUUGUGGGGUGCUCGAGUGGCGAACGGGUGAGUAACACGUGAGUAACCUGCCCUUGACUUUGGGAUAACUUCAGGAAACUGGUGCUAAUACCGGAUAGGAGCUCCUGCUGCAUGGUGGGGGUUGGAAAGUUUCGGCGGUUGGGGAUGGACUCGCGGCUUAUCAGCUUGUUGGUGGGGUAGUGGCUUACCAAGGCUUUGACGGGUAGCCGGCCUGAGAGGGUGAACGGCGACAAUGGGACUGAGAUACGGCCCAGACUGCUACAGGAGGCAGCAGUGGGGAAUAUGGCACAAUGGGGGGAAGCCUGAGGAAGAAACGCCGGGAGCGGGAUGAAGGCCUUCGGGUUGGAAACCGCUGUAGGCUGUGACGAAGCGGGAGUGGCGGUAAUGAGUAAAGAAGCACCGGCUAACUACGUG